RNAcentral lists this transfer RNA (72 nucleotides) under Desulfurellaceae bacterium. Its description in RNAcentral is "tRNA-Glu". It matches the Rfam family "tRNA". From Rfam's summary of the family: Transfer RNA (tRNA) molecules are approximately 80 nucleotides in length. Their secondary structure includes four short double-helical elements and three loops (D, anti-codon, and T loops). Further hydrogen bonds mediate the characteristic L-shaped molecular structure. tRNAs have two regions of fundamental functional importance: the anti-codon, which is responsible for specific mRNA codon recognition, and the 3' end, to which the tRNAs corresponding amino acid is attached (by aminoacyl-tRNA synthetases). tRNAs cope with the degeneracy of the genetic code in two manners: having more than one tRNA (with a specific anti-codon) for a particular amino acid; and 'wobble' base-pairing, i.e. permitting non-standard base-pairing at the 3rd anti-codon position. Lineage: Bacteria; Pseudomonadati; Campylobacterota; Desulfurellia; Desulfurellales; Desulfurellaceae. The record is from RNAcentral.
GGUCCCAUCGUCUAGCGGUUAGGACGCCGGCCUCUCACGUCGGUAGCACGGGUUCGAGUCCCGUUGGGACCA